UGUCUGGGAGCAGCCAAGGACAAGUUACCUCUUGUCUUCUAUCCUUGGCCUUCCUAGGUGU
RNAcentral lists this microRNA precursor (61 nucleotides) under Mus musculus (house mouse). RNAcentral's name for it is "Mmu-Mir-3075_pre stem-loop". The record is from RNAcentral. Lineage: Eukaryota; Metazoa; Chordata; Mammalia; Rodentia; Muridae.